This 82-nucleotide transfer RNA is filed under the name Candidatus Margulisiibacteriota bacterium. Its description in RNAcentral is "tRNA-Leu". It matches the Rfam family "tRNA". Rfam says of the family: Transfer RNA (tRNA) molecules are approximately 80 nucleotides in length. Their secondary structure includes four short double-helical elements and three loops (D, anti-codon, and T loops). Lineage: Bacteria; Bacillati; Candidatus Margulisiibacteriota. The record is from RNAcentral.
GCCCAGGUGGUGGAAUUGGCAGACACGCAUGGCUUAGGACCAUGUGCCGCAAGGCUUGGAGGUUCGAGUCCUCUCCUGGGCA